AUUGAACGCUGGCGGCAUGCUUUACACAUGCAAGUCGAACGGUAACAGGCCUUCGGGUGCUGACGAGUGGCGAACGGGUGAGUAAUGCAUCGGAACGUGCCCAGAGGUGGGGGAUAACGCAGCGAAAGCUGUGCUAAUACCGCAUGUGAUCUGAGGAUGAAAGCGGGGGUCCAGGCAGCAAUGUUUGGCCUCGCGCCUUUGGAGCGGCCGAUGUCAGAUUAGGUAGUUGGUGGGGUAAAGGCCUACCAAGCCGACGAUCUGUAGCUGGUCUGAGAGGACGACCAGCCACACUGGGACUGAGACACGGCCCAGACUCCUACGGGAGGCAGCAGUGGGGAAUUUUGGACAAUGGGCGCAAGCCUGAUCCAGCAAUGCCGCGUGCGGGAAGAAGGCCUUCGGGUUGUAAACCGCUUUUGUACGGAACGAAAAGGCUCUGGCUAAUACCUGGGGCUGAUGACGGUACCGUAAGAAUAAGCACCGGCUAACUACGUG
RNAcentral lists this ribosomal RNA (492 nucleotides) under uncultured bacterium. RNAcentral describes it as "partial 16S ribosomal RNA". It matches the Rfam family "Bacterial small subunit ribosomal RNA", at positions 30 to 507 of the family's 1533-position model. The record is from RNAcentral.